GCUGUGAUGGCCAAGUGGUUAGGGCAUUGGAUUCAAAAUUCAAUGGGGUUUCCUUGCGCAGGUUCAAGUCCUGCUCACAGCG
This is a non-coding RNA of Carlito syrichta (Philippine tarsier), 82 nucleotides long. NCBI's taxonomy places the organism in Eukaryota, Metazoa, Chordata, Mammalia, Primates, Tarsiidae. The record is from the annotation of a RefSeq genome assembly.